GACGAACGCUGGCGGCGUGCCUAAUACAUGCAAGUCGAACGAGAGCGACCGGUGCUUGCACUGGUCAAUCUAGUGGCGAACGGGUGAGUAACACGUGGGUAACCUGCUCAUCAGAGGGGGAUAACAUCCGGAAACGGAUGCUAAAACCGCAUAGGUCUUCGAGCCGCAUGGCUUGAAGAGGAAAAGAGGCGCAAGCUUCUGCUGAUGGAUGGACCCGCGGUGCAUUAGCUAGUUGGUGAGGUAACGGCUCACCAAGGCCGUGAUGCAUAGCCGACCUGAGAGGGUGAUCGGCCACAUUGGGACUGAGACACGGCCCAAACUCCUACGGGAGGCAGCAGUAGGGAAUCUUCCGCAAUGGACGCAAGUCUGACGGAGCAACGCCGCGUGAGUGAAGAAGGUUUUCGGAUCGUAAAACUCUGUUGCUAGAGAAGAACAAGUGCUAGAGUAACUGUUAGCGCCUUGACGGUAUCUAACCAGAAAGCCACGGCUAACUACGUG
Molecule: ribosomal RNA, 498 nt
Filed under: uncultured bacterium
Lineage: Bacteria
Description: partial 16S ribosomal RNA
Rfam family: Bacterial small subunit ribosomal RNA
Source: RNAcentral